Molecule: ribosomal RNA, 558 nt
Filed under: uncultured bacterium
Lineage: Bacteria
Description: bacterial SSU rRNA
Rfam family: Bacterial small subunit ribosomal RNA
Source: RNAcentral
GGACAUGCGGGCAACGCCUGNNCCAGCCAUUCCGCGUGAGUGAAGAAGGCCUUCGGGUUGUAAAGCUCUUUCGGCCGGGACGAAAUCGCACGGGCUAAUACCCUGUGUGGAUGACGGUACCGGAAGAAGAAGCACCGGCUAACUACGUGCCAGCAGCCGCGGUAAUACGUAGGGUGCGAGCGUUGAUCGGAAUUACUGGGCGUAAAGCGUGCGCAGGCGGUUUUGUAAGACCGAUGUGAAAUCCCCGGGCUUAACCUGGGAACUGCAUUGGUGACUGCAAGGCUAGAGUGUGUCAGAGGGAGGUGGAAUUCCACGUGUANCAGNGAAAUGCGUAGAGAUGUGGAGGAACACCGAUGGCGAAGGCAGCCUCCUGGGAUAACACUGACGCUCAUGCACGAAAGCGUGGGGAGCAAACAGGAUUAGAUACCCUGGUAGUCCACGCCCUAAACGAUGUCAACUAGUUGUUGGGAAAGAGAUUUCUUAGUAACGCAGCUAACGCGUGAAGUUGACCGCCUGGGGAGUACGGCCGCAAGGUUAAAACUCAAAAAAAUUGACGGA